CAGGUACCAAUUCAGACUUCAUUUUUUACUUUGACAAUAUCAAUUGACUGCAGAACGACUUGCCCAUAAAUUGAGGGUCUCCAUUUUCACCCCAAGAAGGCUUGUGCAGAGUCUGAUUAAAUAUCAAUUUCAGUAGUAUGCACGUAUCUUAAUGUCAUAGUCAAUAAAUAUCAUUGUUUUACUUCUCCUUGGCUGCAGCAUGUGCAAGUUGCUGCAAGGAUCAAUUUAUUGGAUGGAGUGUUGGUUGAUGAACAGACUUUUGUACAAUCGUUUAAGCAUGUCUUACUCAAUUCCUUGCUUCAAAACAUAAAAUGUCAAACAAUUUCCUAUUUGUGGUGUUAGAAAUAAUUAAGUCCAGACAAUACAAUCCAGAAAGCAUAUUAUGUGCUGGUGUUGUAUACAUCAAAGAAUGUCUACUGUAAUCAUAUUUUGUGGGACAAAAUGG
Molecule: small RNA, 445 nt
Filed under: Vigna angularis var. angularis
Lineage: Eukaryota; Viridiplantae; Streptophyta; Magnoliopsida; Fabales; Fabaceae
Description: Non-protein coding transcript
Source: RNAcentral